Molecule: microRNA precursor, 61 nt
Filed under: Callorhinchus milii (elephant shark)
Lineage: Eukaryota; Metazoa; Chordata; Chondrichthyes; Chimaeriformes; Callorhinchidae
Description: Cmi-Mir-15-P1c_pre stem-loop
Source: RNAcentral
UAGCAGCACAUCAUGGUUUGUAGGUAUACUGGAAGAUAACAGACCAUACUGAGCUGCCGCA